GUUCCGGUAGCUCAGGGGUAGAUGCGACAGAUUGCAAAUCUGUAGGUCGCGAGUUCAAAUCUCGCCCGGAACU
This 73-nucleotide transfer RNA is filed under the name Malassezia sympodialis ATCC 42132. RNAcentral describes it as "tRNA-Cys (GCA) (tRNA-Cys-GCA-1-1)". It matches the Rfam family "tRNA". From Rfam's summary of the family: Transfer RNA (tRNA) molecules are approximately 80 nucleotides in length. Their secondary structure includes four short double-helical elements and three loops (D, anti-codon, and T loops). Lineage: Eukaryota; Fungi; Basidiomycota; Malasseziomycetes; Malasseziales; Malasseziaceae. The record is from RNAcentral.